RNAcentral lists this ribosomal RNA (498 nucleotides) under uncultured bacterium. Its description in RNAcentral is "partial 16S ribosomal RNA". It matches the Rfam family "Bacterial small subunit ribosomal RNA", at positions 29 to 501 of the family's 1533-position model. The record is from RNAcentral.
AGCGAACGCUGGCGGCGUACUUAACACAUGCAAGUCGAACGGGGAUCAUCGGGUUAGCAAUAACUCGGUGGUCCUAGUGGCGCACGGGUGAGUAACACGUGGGUAACCUGCCCUGGAGACCGGGAUACUCCCUCGAAAGGGGGGCGUAAUACCGGAUACGUUCCCUGGAUCGAGAGGUCUGGGGAGGAAAGGUGGCGAAAGCUGCCGCUCUUGGAGGGGCUCGCGGCCUAUCAGCUAGUUGGCGGGGUAACGGCCCACCAGGGCUAUGACGGGUAGCUGGUCUGAGAGGACGACCAGCCACACGGGGACUGAGACACGGCCCCGACUCCUACGGGAGGCAGCAGUGGGGAAUAUUGGACAAUGGGCGAAAGCCUGAUCCAGCGAUGCCGCGUGUGUGAAGAAGGCCUGCGGGUUGUAAAGCACUUUCAGUAGGGAAGAAAUGCUUGGAGCUAACACCGCCAAGUUUUGACGUUACCUACAGAAGAAGCACCGGCUAAC